Molecule: long non-coding RNA, 1644 nt
Organism: Corythoichthys intestinalis (scribbled pipefish)
Lineage: Eukaryota; Metazoa; Chordata; Actinopteri; Syngnathiformes; Syngnathidae
Exons: 3
Source: RefSeq, a predicted model, not a curated record
UAUAUGCGAGCAAUAAUGGAUUUUGAGCACACCUCCACCUCUUCUCCAAUUUCUCGACUCCUGCUCUUGUCGGAUUUUUGUCUCUGCGCGUUUAAUUCAGCCCACGCUACUAAUAUGUCACGAAGCCGACCAAUCAGAGAGCUGGCGGAAGUACACUCUGUUACCAAUUGCACUUUUUGGUAAUUGCAACUCUGCACCGUAGUGUAUAGUGGACAGGCGAUUAACGUGGCUUGUUGUCGUCGAUUCGCCCGGUGCUUACUUCAGAGAGGUGGUUAUGUGUAUAAAAACACAGUGACACGUUGGAUGGUAUUUUGCUGGAGACUUUUAUUAACAAAACUAAAACCAGCAUGGGACACAGCCACUUUUCAUGGCGCUCUUCGCACAACUCUCUCUCAACACCUUGCUCCCUGCCUCUCUUUUUCUUACGCUUAACUAGUAAGCUGGUCAUACUGUAGGGGACAGCGGCCCCUUGGGGGUGCCGGUAACAACUGAUUGGCUGGUUACUUCCGCUUGCUCUGUGCAUUAUGCCCCGAAAGCGUUGUGUGUGUGUCGCACAACAAGUGUCAAACGCCACUACGAGACAAAACAUGAAAUUCAUGGAAAACAGGGCCAGGGAUCACAUUAAGGCUUUUAUUUUGGCACAAGAACCAUAGAGCAUUUAAACAGCGCCCAGCCCACACACCUAGUGUCACGGACAUAUGAGGAAGUGCGCAGGUAGUACCCAGCUUACGACGUACCCGACUUAAGUGAUUUCGACUUUUCGACGCCGGAGUCUUGUCCGCCAUUUUGUUUCCAGUAGUUUUAUUUAUCUAUUUUUUUUUUUGUCAUGUAUCGGUGUAGAGUGUGUGUUUGAGCUCUGUAUUUUUCUCAGUGUAACAGCGGUCAAGUUUUCCUGCAAAUAUUUGUUCUGCCAAUAUGAGAAGCUGUUGUCUCACAAAGGUUAACCGAAUAUUACCAUGUUACACAACUUAUUUUUUUUUUGUGUGUGCAGGCUUUUUUUUCCUGUUGUGAUUGUACAAUUCUCGGCAUUAAGCAGUGAUCUCUCGUUUUCGUGGUUAAUGGGGACCAGAAUUCGCCGGGGUAAGUGAUAAACUGCGAAGUAACGCACCCCCUCACCAAAAAAACUAUAUAUUUUUUUUGUGUGUGUUCAGUGUAUUCAGAUUUAGCAUUGGAAAGAGAUCCAUAUAAGACAUUUUUUAAACGUUAUUUUUUUUUGUCAAAUUAUAAUUUUUUUUUUUUUUAAUGUAUAUUUAUAUUAAUAAAUGGUACCAAUUGGCUCGGUACAGCUCAUCUGUAUUAUUAUUAUUAUUUUUUUUUAAUUGAAAAAAAAAAAAAAAAAAAAAAACGCAAUGACAUGAGCGCGCGAAGUUUGAAGCGCGAAGUAGCGAGAGAUCACUGUAUUGUUAAUAAUUGUUUACAAGUUAAAUUGUCAAAUUCAUAAGUUUCAUAAGUGUCAAAUUUCAUAAGUGAGCGCAUACCCAAUCAGGUCGCUUUCUGGUUUCUACGAAGGAAGUUGAGUCCGAUCAAGCAAGCAACUGCGUAGUAGAAGCAGCUCGACCUCAUCUAAAUUACUGAAAUUAAGCUUUUAAUAAGCUUAAUAAGUCACAUCGACUUACCUGUUCGCUAGCAGGCCAAAGUGUUCUA